Molecule: ribosomal RNA, 253 nt
Filed under: uncultured bacterium
Lineage: Bacteria
Description: partial 16S ribosomal RNA
Rfam family: Bacterial small subunit ribosomal RNA
Source: RNAcentral
UACGUAGGGUGCAGGCGUUAAUCGGAAUUACUGGGCGUAAAGCGUGCGUAGGCGGUUUGCUAAGUCAGGUGUGAAAUCCCCGGGCUUAACCUGGGAACUGCAUUUGAGACUGCACGGCUGGAGUGCGGAAGAGGGGGAUGGAAUUCCGCGUGUAGCAGUGAAAUGCGUAGAUAUGCGGAGGAACACCGGUGGCGAAGGCGAGCCCCUGGGCCUGCACUGACGCUGAGGCACGAAAGCGUGGGGAGCAAACAGG